Ornithorhynchus anatinus (platypus) is the source of this 499-nucleotide long non-coding RNA. RefSeq lists it as uncharacterized. NCBI's taxonomy places the organism in Eukaryota, Metazoa, Chordata, Mammalia, Monotremata, Ornithorhynchidae. The transcript is spliced from 3 exons. The record is from RefSeq and is a predicted model, not a curated record.
UGGGGGGGGGCCCCUUUGCUCCCCUCUAAUAACUGCUGUUAUUGGGGGCUUUUCAGACAGGAGGGGGGUUUCUGCCAACGGCACUGACGGUUACUUUCUGCUGGGAGCCCCAGAUAAUCAUAAAAAUGUGGGUAUUUCUGGGAGCCCCGUAGAACCCAUCUUAUAAUGAGAAUAAGACACGCUGUUUUGACGAGAUGUGAACAGAAGACCAAUUUUUGUGUUGACAGGAGUGAAGAUUUGUGAUGAAACUUAUCAUCAGCCCAGCGAGUGGAUCAUUAGUUCUCGUCAAAGCGGCAAGGAACUGCAGAUAUAUUUUAUGGCAUGCUCAGAAGACAAACAUACGCAUUUAUAUGUCACUUGUUGCAAUAUAAAUGCUAACUUGUACUUCUUUCAAAACUUUUAAUGAAUUGUAUACAUUGCUGAAGAUUUAUAGCAAGAAACGAAUGACUCAAAAUGUUGCUUUAACAUAUUUGUCACUUUGGCAAGAGCACAAAAAAAA